This 1360-nucleotide unclassified non-coding RNA is filed under the name Dothideomycetes sp. KO-groupL 2014. Its description in RNAcentral is "partial contains ITS1, 5.8S rRNA, ITS2 and LSU". The stretch from base 473 to 1360 matches the Rfam family "Eukaryotic large subunit ribosomal RNA", at positions 1 to 913 of the family's 3401-position model. The record is from RNAcentral. Lineage: Eukaryota; Fungi; Ascomycota; Dothideomycetes.
UCCGUAGGUGAACCUGCGGAAGGAUCAUUACUAGUUUAGGGUAUUCUGUGCCCAAACUUCAACCCUAUGAUUUACCAACUUGUUUCUUUGCCGGCGUCAAGCCGGCAAAAGGAUUCUCAAACUCAUUGAUGAAAAAUUGCAAUCUGAAAAUUUGAUCAAAAAUCAAAAGCAAAACUUUCAACAACGGAUCUCUUGGUUCUGGCAUCGAUGAAGAACGCAGCGAAAUGCGAUAAGUAAUGUGAAUUGCAGAAUUCAGUGAAUCAUCGAAUUUUUGAACGCAUAUUGCGCCCUUUGGCAUUCCGAAGGGCAUGCCUGUUCGAGCGUCAUUGCAACUCUCAAACCCAGGUUUGAUGUUGGGCCUUGUCGUCAAGACAUGCCUUAAAUUUAGUGAUGGUAACCUCUCUCCACAGGCGCACAGAUGCUGCCGUGAUGGUGUUUGCAGGUGGCCACUCAACCCCAAAAUUCUGAAUGUUGACCUCGGAUCAGGUAGGGAUACCCGCUGAACUUAAGCAUAUCAAUAAGCGGAGGAAAAGAAACCAACAGGGAUUGCCUCAGUAACGGCGAGUGAAGCGGCAAAAGCUCAAAUUUGAAAUCUGACCUUUCAGGUCCGAGUUGUAAUUUGUAGAGGAUGUUUCGGGUAAGAUCUAGGCCUAAGUUCCUUGGAACAGGACGUCAUAGAGGGUGAGAAUCCCGUACGUGGCUCAUGAUCGCACCCAUGUGAAACUCCUUCGACGAGUCGAGUUGUUUGGGAAUGCAGCUCAAAAUGGGUGGUAAAUUUCAUCUAAAGCUAAAUAUUGGCCAGAGACCGAUAGCGCACAAGUAGAGUGAUCGAAAGAUGAAAAGCACUUUGAAAAGAGAGUUAAAAAGCAUGUGAAAUUGUUGAAAGGGAAGCGCUUGAAGCCAGACUUGUUUAUAGGGUUCAGCCGUCGUUCUCGUCGGUGUAUUUCCCUAUUAUCAGGCCAGCAUCAGUUUGGGUGGAAGGUUAAAGGCCUUGGGAAUGUGACAUCCUCCGGGUUGUUUUAUAGCCCUUGGUGUAAUGCUUCCUACCUAGACUGAGGCACGCGUUCGCUAGGAUGCUGGCGUAAUGGCUUUAAGCGACCCGUCUUGAAACACGGACCAAGGAGUCUAACAUCUAUGCGAGUAUUUGGGUGUCAAACCCCUAUGCGUAAUGAAAGUGAACGGAGGUGGGAACCUUUUCGGUGCACCAUCGACCGAUCCUGAUGUCUUCGGAUGGAUUUGAGUAAGAGCAUAGCUGUUGGGACCCGAAAGAUGGUGAACUAUGCCUGAAUAGGGUGAAGCCAGAGGAAACUCUGGUGGAGGCUCGCAGCGGUUCUGACGUGCAAAUCGAUCGUCAAAUUUG